RNAcentral lists this ribosomal RNA (449 nucleotides) under uncultured bacterium. RNAcentral's name for it is "partial 16S ribosomal RNA". It matches the Rfam family "Bacterial small subunit ribosomal RNA", at positions 338 to 795 of the family's 1533-position model. The record is from RNAcentral.
CCUACGGGUGGCUGCAGUGGGGAAUUUUGGACAAUGGGGGAAACCCUGAUCCAGCCAUGCCGCGUGAGUGAAGAAGGCCUUCGGGUUGUAAAGCUCUUUCGUACGGAACGAAAUUGCCUGGACUAAUACUCUGGGUAGAUGACGGUACUGUAAGAAGAAGCACCGGCUAACUACGUGCCAGCAGCCGCGGUAAUACGUAGGGUGCGAGUGUUAGUCGGGCUUACUGGGCGUAUUGCCUGCGCAGGGCGUGAAAUCCCCGGGCUUAACCUGGGAAUUGCGCUUGGGACUGGGCGGCUAGAGUACGGCAGAGGGAGGUGGAAUUCCACGUGUAGCAGUGAAAUGCGUAGAGAUGUGGAGGAACACCGAUGGCGAAGGCAGCCUCCUGGGCCAGUACUGACGCUCAUGCACGAAAGCGUGGGGAGCAAACAGGAUUAGAUACCCGGGUAGUC